RNAcentral lists this unclassified non-coding RNA (383 nucleotides) under uncultured Actinomycetes bacterium. RNAcentral describes it as "uncultured actinobacterium contains 16S-23S intergenic spacer region". The record is from RNAcentral. Lineage: Bacteria; Bacillati; Actinomycetota; Actinomycetes.
UCCGAGUUGACCCCGGCAGUCUCCUAUGAGUCCCCAACACCCUUGCGGGCUUGCUGGCAACAUAGAACGAGGGUUGCGCUCGUUGCGGGACUUAACCCAACAUCUCACGACACGAGCUGACGACAGCCAUGCACCACCUGUAUACCGACCUUGCGGGGGCUACAUCUCUGUAGCUUUCCGGCAUAUGUCAAACCCAGGUAAGGUUCUUCGCGUUGCAUCGAAUUAAACCACAUGCUCCACCGCUUGUGCGGGCCCCCGUCAAUUCCUUUGAGUUUCAGCCUUGCGGCCGUACUCCCCAGGCGGGGCACUUACUGCGUUAGCGACGGCACUCAGGGGGUCGCUCCCCCCGGCACCUAGUGCCCAUCGUUUACGGCGUGGACUAC